AUAUCAAGUAGUAUUGUACAAUAAUAUUUUUUUUAUUGUAUUUAUAGAAUGUUUUUUAUUUAAAUAAAAAAAAAAGCAUUCUUAUGUAUUAUUUUAUUAAAAUAUAUAUUUAAUAAAAAAAAAUCAUGUUUGAUAUAUUUUUUAAUUAUAUAUUUUUAAUAAAACUAUAUAUAAAAAUUUUAUUAAUUU
RNAcentral lists this unclassified non-coding RNA (189 nucleotides) under Strongyloides fuelleborni fuelleborni. Its description in RNAcentral is "ITS2". Lineage: Eukaryota; Metazoa; Nematoda; Chromadorea; Rhabditida; Strongyloididae. The record is from RNAcentral.